This 636-nucleotide ribosomal RNA is filed under the name Triticum aestivum (bread wheat). Its description in RNAcentral is "partial small subunit ribosomal RNA". The record is from RNAcentral. Lineage: Eukaryota; Viridiplantae; Streptophyta; Magnoliopsida; Poales; Poaceae.
AUGGAGAAGGGAGGAAGAGGGCUGUCCUGCCGGGCCGCGGUCUGCGGCAUCGUCGUCCUGCUCUGCGCCACCGCCUUCUCCUGCUCCCUCGCCGCCGAGUUCCGCAGAGUCAAGGACGAGGACAUGAAGCUGGACGGCAGCCUCUGCUCCCUGCCCAAGAGCUCCGCCUUCGAAUUGGGCGUCGCGGCCAUCGCCUUCCUCUCCGUCGCGCAGCUCGUCGGCACCACCGCGGCGGCGACCACCAUGUGCGCCUCCAGCUCCAAGCCCAGCAAGUCCGUCGCCACCAGAGGCCGCGUCGCGCCCGUCGCACUGCUGGCCCUCUCAUGGGUGUGCUUCGCUCUGGCCGUUAUCCUGCUGGCGACGGCGGCGAGCAUGAACAGCGGGCAGCGCUACGGCCGGGGGUGGAUGGACGGCGACUGCUACAUCGCUAGGAACGGCGUGUUCGGCGGCGCCGCCGCGCUGGUCGUCAUCACGGCGCUCCUCAUCCUCGGCCUCACCUUCGCCACCAAAACCGCGGGGGGUGGCUCGAGCACGACGGCGUGCGCAAGAGGAGACGCCGCCCGCACAACUACCAUCCGUGUCGACGCGGCAACAGGCGCGGGCGCGGAACAGCCGGGCAGGCGAUCCAAGCAAUGA